AUUGAACGCUGGCGGCAUGCUUUACACAUGCAAGUCGAACGGUAACAGGGUGCUUGCACCGCUGACGAGUGGCGAACGGGUGAGUAAUGCGUCGGAACGUGCCGAGUAGUGGGGGAUAACGCAGCGAAAGUUGUGCUAAUACCGCAUACGUACUGAGGUAGAAAGUGGGGGACCUUCGGGCCUCACGCUAUUCGAGCGGCCGACGUCUGAUUAGCUAGUAGGUGAGGUAAAGGCUCACCUAGGCGACGAUCAGUAGCGGGUCUGAGAGGAUGAUCCGCCACACUGGGACUGAGAAACGGCCCAGACUCCUACGGGAGGCAGCAGUGGGGAAUUUUGGACAAUGGGCGAAAGCCUGAUCCAGCCAUUCCGCGUGUCUGAAGAAGGCCUUCGGGUUGUAAAGGACUUUUGUCGGGGAGGAAAUCCCCAGCGUUAAUACCGCUGGGGGAUGACAGUACCUGAAGAAUAAGCACCGGCUAACUACGUGCCAGCAGCCGCCGUAA
RNAcentral lists this ribosomal RNA (500 nucleotides) under uncultured bacterium. Its description in RNAcentral is "partial 16S ribosomal RNA". It matches the Rfam family "Bacterial small subunit ribosomal RNA", at positions 30 to 523 of the family's 1533-position model. The record is from RNAcentral.